UGUCAAUCGGGUCGGGCCGGGCUGG
This 25-nucleotide unclassified non-coding RNA is filed under the name Mus musculus (house mouse). Its description in RNAcentral is "oocyte_clustered_small_RNA5255". The record is from RNAcentral. Lineage: Eukaryota; Metazoa; Chordata; Mammalia; Rodentia; Muridae.